UGAGUGUGAAGACCUGAGGUAUCAGGGGUAGGGGUUGCUCUGCUUGUGUAAGUCCCAUAGUGUGAAGGCCAGAGAACCAAGAGAUGGUCAAGAAGAGAGAGUAAGUGUCCAAUGUCCCAGCUCAAGAAGAGAGACAAGACCAACCCCGCCUCUUCCUUCUCCUUCUCGACCUACUCAAAGUAAAGAUGAGGAUGAAGACCCUUAAGAUGAUCCACUCCCACUUAAUGAAUAAAACUUUUGUGGAUAGCUAAGUUACUGCUAGCCAUCUGAUUAUAGCAAUGGCUUCCAGGAGCAUCACGACCUGUGCAGACUCCCCAGCAUCAUAACAGGAAGGUCCCACGAUCACGAGCACAUUGCCUUCAGCAUCCAGCACUGAAUAUGGUGAAUUGCACUCUGAAGAGCUUCCUAAGCUUGUAAGAAAGUGAUUCUGAAAAGCUCAACAUUUUGGUAGAAUGGAGAGAUUUGACAUUGCUUCUGCUCCAAAAGCAAAAGACUUGGGAAGGGCACCCUGGGAGUUGAGAACAUCCACCACAGAGAGGCCUGGCGUAAAGGAGAUGGGACUCACACCCAAGAGGAUGCAUUUCCAUACACCCAUUUCUGAAAUAUGAAGAGGUGUCCAGUCUGUUUGAUUCAUAGCUGCCUGUUCCACAACUGCAGAUACAGUAAUUGAUAACCGAGACCAAGUUCUCAUCCCCAUCUCCCAGGGCUGGAACUGGGGCUGUGUUUGGUUCUCAUAAGAUCAGUUCCAGUUUUAGAAACUGAGUAAAUUGUGGAGUAAAUAUUGCCAAGUGAUGGCUUUCUGCUGUAGGCGUGGGUCGCUGUUGGCCAUUUGCCUCAGCAUAUCACCAGCAAUGCACCUCAUUGCAUCACUGCAUUUCCAAUUACACCUCAAAGCACCACUGGUCCCCUGUCCACCCUCUGCCCUGCAGAGGUGGGUGUUCAGGGAGACAGAUCCAAAAUCUGGGCUCAGAAGAUGGAAAUGCCAACUGCUCUCAAUUUGAGAGUGGGGAUGAGACUUUUUGACUCAACUCUGGUUAAUUCAGCCAUGCUGUCAGAGCUGCUUUGAUGCAAGGACAUCUGAAUGCUAUCUGAAUGCUGCCCCUAAAAUAACAAAUUAAAAACAACAACAACAACAAAAAUCAA
Molecule: long non-coding RNA, 1143 nt
Filed under: Homo sapiens (human)
Lineage: Eukaryota; Metazoa; Chordata; Mammalia; Primates; Hominidae
Description: long intergenic non-protein coding RNA 1584
Source: RNAcentral